UAGCAGGCCUUCGGGCGCUGACGAGCGGCGGACGGGUGAGGAACACGUAGGAAUCUGCCUUGUAGUGGGGGAUAGCCCAGAGAAAUUUGGAGUAAUACCGCAUAUGCCCUGAAGGGGAAAGUGGGGGACCGAAAGGCCUCACGCUAUGAGAGGAGCCUGCGUCGGAUUAGCUAGUUGGUGGGGUAAGAGCCCACCAAGGCGACGAUCCGUAGCUGGUCUGAGAGGAUGAUCAGCCACACUGGGACUGAGACACGGCCCAGACUCCUACGGGAGGCAGCAGUGGGGAAUAUUGGACAAUGGGCGAAAGCCUGAUCCAGCCAUGCCGCGUGUGUGAAGAAGGCCUUCGGGUUGUAAAGCACUUUAAGUGGGGAGGAAAAGCGCUGCGUGAAUAUCGUAGUGCCGUGACGUUACCCACAGAAUAAGCACCGGCAAACUCCGUGCCAGCAGCCGCGGUAAUACGGAGGGGUGCGAGCGUUAAUCGGAAUUACUGGGCGUAAAGCGCACGUAGGCGGUUCUGUAAGUGGA
RNAcentral lists this ribosomal RNA (525 nucleotides) under uncultured bacterium. RNAcentral's name for it is "bacterial SSU rRNA". It matches the Rfam family "Bacterial small subunit ribosomal RNA", at positions 70 to 591 of the family's 1533-position model. The record is from RNAcentral.